Manacus vitellinus (golden-collared manakin) is the source of this 949-nucleotide long non-coding RNA. The record is from Ensembl. NCBI's taxonomy places the organism in Eukaryota, Metazoa, Chordata, Aves, Passeriformes, Pipridae.
AUGAAGAAACUAAAGAUAUUUUCAAGGAUAAUGAAGAAACUACGGACAUUUUCAAGCUUCACACCCUUAAUUUCGAUGUUUUGGCACCCAGGAGCACAGAAAACAGGGCAUUCCUGAGCAGAAUUAAUUGCACUUAAAAGGAAAUGUGUGUGCACUGGAGAAGCUUCUCUAUCAUGGGGGACAGAAAAUCCAAAAACUGAUUUCCAGGUUUUCAGGUGCUAAAGGUGUGGUAAUUAAACAGCACAACCCAAUUUUCAUGUCACCAUCCCCAGGAAGCUCUGUGAGGACUUACAGCCUCAAGAUGGGACAAAACAAAGGCUUGGUCCCUGCCUCUGGAAAACUGGCUGGAAUCCCCUGGGUCGCUGCUUGGACACAUCUGAGUCCAUCAGUUGGGAAUGAGCAGCUUUCCUGUGUGUGGGGCAGGCCCAACUUCCACUGAACUCCAGAAUUCAUCAACUAUCACAAAAUUAUUCCUGGGGUGGGCCCAAGAAGGGGGCUCUGAAGUCUCUUUGGAAUGGGGACCACAGGUAAAAUUAGAAGAUCCAGAAUGAAGGGACCUCAAAGCUCAUCCAGUUCCACCCCCUGCCGUGGGCAGGAACCCCUUCCACCAUCCCAGAGUGCUCCAACCUGGCCUGGGACACUUCCAAGGAAAAUCAUGUUCUGCUGAAGCCUGUUUGAGGCUGGGAAUGUUUUGUACCUGUCACACCUGCACAGUCCUUUUCUCAGGUUGGUGUUACUUUUUGGGAUCUGUAUAAACCAUAUUUCUGUAACUAUUAGUACUUAGUUAAAGGAAAGCAGAGUGUCCAUAUGGGAAUGCUGUUCUGACCCAUGGCUGAUCCCUUUUUAGCUCAGAAAACAGCACUUAAAACUGCUGAGGCUCUUUUAUACCUUCACAUGGGUCAGUUUUAAAUCCAUAUCACAAUAUAAAUCAAGAGAUACUGACUUAAGA